UGGUGUUGCUCUUCACUGUGCCUCUGGCGGGAGCAAUUCAUGUGGUGCACCUGAGGUGAUAAUUCUAUCAAACCAGGCUAAUUGAUUUCUGUUUAAUUCUUUUUGCAGUAGAAAUCAGGUGUUCUUUGGACAACUGGCACCAAUAGAUUUUCUAGACUUUUCAUUAAGCAGAGUUUGUCAUGUCUUGGGAUGCCAGCAUAGCACUUGAACAUUUCAUUAAGUGGUGGUGAUAGCCUCUGCCGGUUUUCGUCAACAAAUUUGUCAUUUUGGCAAUCUAAUCUCAAGAGUGUAGGGAUUUUUUUUUU
RNAcentral lists this unclassified non-coding RNA (305 nucleotides) under Hevea brasiliensis (rubber tree). Lineage: Eukaryota; Viridiplantae; Streptophyta; Magnoliopsida; Malpighiales; Euphorbiaceae. The record is from RNAcentral.